Long non-coding RNA from Felis catus (domestic cat), 449 nucleotides. RefSeq lists it as uncharacterized. The record is from RefSeq and is a predicted model, not a curated record. Lineage: Eukaryota; Metazoa; Chordata; Mammalia; Carnivora; Felidae. The transcript is spliced from 2 exons.
UCUCCCCACCCUGCCCCGUCCCUCCCCUACUCAUGCUUUUUCUCUCUCAAAAACAAAUAAACAAACUUUAAAAAAAAUGUGUAUAUUCUACAAUCUACAGGGUACAAAGCUAUGUCCAGGACAAAAAUGAAGUCCCAGAAUCAAGAUGGUGCAGCUUUCUUAAAAGGUUUAUCUGGCCUAUUUGACCUACAAUGGCAUAUCUCUUAGCACAAAGUUGGACUCACCUACAGAGGAAGAUGAACUCUUAACUUGGGAGUUUUGAUCGUAGGAUGAACAGAGAAGGAAGAACAAUGUUAUAACCAUCAUUCACAGGACAAAAACCCUGUUUGAAGCAUAGUGUUCGUGGUUUCUGGAGAUACUCAUACCAGCUGGAAGAUCUAUUCGUAAUGAUUCAAAGAAAAUGUCCCAAUGUCAGAUGUACCAAACAAAAGAUAUAUUUGUCCUUACAA